CAUGUAGGUGGUUUGGUAAGUGGAUGAUUAAAGACCAGGGCUUAACCCUGGGACUGUUGUCCAUACUGCCUGACUUGAGGAGGGCAGGGGUAAGCGGAACUUUAGGUGUAGGAGUGAAAUCCGUAGAUAUCUAAAGGAACACCAAUGGCGAAGGCAGCUUACUGGGCCCUAUCUGACACUGAGAUGCGAAAGCGUGGGGAGCGAGCGGGAUUAGAUACCCCGGUAGUCCACGCUGUAAACGAUGCCGAUUAGCCCUUGGAGGGUAUCGACCCCCUCUUGGGGCGAAGCUAACGCGUUAAAUCGGCCGCCUGGGGACUACGAGCGCAAGCUUAAA
RNAcentral lists this ribosomal RNA (334 nucleotides) under uncultured bacterium. Its description in RNAcentral is "bacterial SSU rRNA". It matches the Rfam family "Bacterial small subunit ribosomal RNA", at positions 568 to 898 of the family's 1533-position model. The record is from RNAcentral.